Molecule: small nucleolar RNA, 133 nt
Organism: Protobothrops mucrosquamatus (brown spotted pit viper)
Lineage: Eukaryota; Metazoa; Chordata; Lepidosauria; Squamata; Viperidae
Product: small nucleolar RNA SNORA15
Exons: 1
Source: RefSeq, a predicted model, not a curated record
GCAUGGGUGAAUUCUGCAUUGGCUUUUGCGAUGGCUAAUGGAGUCAGACACCAUGCAAGAAUAAAAUUUGCCUCAGAUUUGUCUAGUGACGUGCUGUACUAAAAUAGUAUGCAUGGGUCUGAAGGAUACACAU